RNAcentral lists this long non-coding RNA (1160 nucleotides) under Sparus aurata (gilthead seabream). RNAcentral's name for it is "lncRNA (ENSSAUG00010016146.1)". Lineage: Eukaryota; Metazoa; Chordata; Actinopteri; Spariformes; Sparidae. The record is from RNAcentral.
GGAAUGCAGGCUCAUAAUGUCGUCAGUUUAUGUUUUUAUAUAUAUAAAUAUAUAAGCUAGAAAGAGAGCUAUUUUAUGAAAUAUUGCAGCCCAUACACUUAUACAAUAGCCAACUAUAUUAGGGCUGUCAGUUUUCAUUUGAUAUUCUAAUAUAGGUGCAGUGAUGCCACUUCACAACUUUAUUUUUGCAUGAUGCAGGCCAGGAGUGCUGAGUAGACAAUGAUGAGACUGAAAAGUCAAAAAUGAAUGCGAUGUUUUUCAAGCAGUCAUACUAAACAAAUGUCCCUAACAGGUGAUAUCAUCUUGCAUAUAUUUGGGAACCUACAGUAGGAGCACUUUGUUGUGGAGCGUCAGUGAUGCUGCAGGCCAGGAGUAGGCUACUGAGUGGACCACAGUGAGACUGAAAACAUAGUGAGUUGAGCAAACAGCCACUGGCAAACAUAUCAGACUCGGAGCCAGCCAUGGCAAAGGUCAGUGCAUUCUCAGCCCAGAGGUACAUCAUCGAUGACACAGCCACGGAGAAGUUAAGGACUCUUCUGACAGGCUCGCGUGAUGAAACAAAGGUGAUAACCACCAUCAACAGGAAGUUCCCAUUAUCCAUAAAGGAUAUCCGCAGUGUCUGUCCUGUUGAGUUACUAGGCGAAUCAGCAUGGGUUAUGCCAUGGCUCACAGAUGAUGCCGUGAACUAUCGGGUUGCACAGCUUGCAAGGGGCAACUCAGAGACAGCAGCACUUGGUCAUUUCGACUUCAUAUUGUGGCACAGACAGUGGAUCAAAAACAAAAAUGUAGAUGACAGCCUACUAAAUCAUCUCCCUGUUCUGGAUUUCUCCAAAAAAGAAAUUUGUGUCUAUGACUCGUUGAAGACCAUGACGAGUAUUGAUGAGGAUGAUAUGGAUCUUCUAAGAAAUGUCUUCCGGAAGAGGGGAGGGUUGAAGGACUGGAGGGAGACGUACCAUGUCCAGUGGCGUCAGAAAGACUCUGUCAAUUGUGGGAUUUUUGUCUGCUCAGCUGCUGAGAAUGAAGUCAACAAGUUAGAUGUCCAAGAGGAGGGACUGACAAUGACCCAAUGCCGGAUUCUACGUAGAUUCCAUGGAGCAGAAAUGAUAAAGAAUGUUGACGAGGCUAUAAGAAAUGUUGAUGGAAAUACAGCUAUUUUUUAG